GAUGAACGCUGGCGGCGUGCCUAAUACAUGCAAGUCGAGCGAACGGACGAGAAGCUUGCUUCUCUGAUGUUAGCGGCGGACGGGUGAGUAACACGUGGAUAACCUACCUAUAAGACUGGGAUAACUUCGGGAAACCGGAGCUAAUACCGGAUAAUAUUUUGAACCGCAUGGUUCAAUAGUGAAAGACGGUCUUGCUGUCACUUAUAGAUGGAUCCGCGCUGCAUUAGCUAGUUGGUAAGGUAACGGCUUACCAAGGCAACGAUGCAUAGCCGACCUGAGAGGGUGAGCGGCCACACUGGAACUGAGACACGGUCCAGACUCCUACGGGAGGCAGCAGUAGGGAAUCUUCCGCAAUGGGCGAAAGCCAGACGGAGCAACGCCGCGUGAGUGAUGAAGGUCUUCGGAUCGUAAAACUCUGUUAUUAGGGAAGAAAAUAUGUGUAAGUAACUGUGCACAUCGUGACGAUACCUAAUCAGAAAGCCACGGCUAACUACG
This 495-nucleotide ribosomal RNA is filed under the name uncultured bacterium. RNAcentral's name for it is "partial 16S ribosomal RNA". It matches the Rfam family "Bacterial small subunit ribosomal RNA", at positions 28 to 505 of the family's 1533-position model. The record is from RNAcentral.